UACGUAGGGUGCGAGCGUUAAUCAGAAUUACUGGGCGUAAAGCGUGCGCAGGCGGUUCGCCAAGUCAGGGGUGAAAUCCCCGGGCUUAACCUGGGAAUUGCGCUUGAAACUAGCGGGCUUGAGUGUGGCAGAGGGGGGUGGAAUUCCACGUGUAGCAGUGAAAUGCGUAGAGAUGUGGAGGAACACCGAUGGCGAAGGCAGCCCCCUGGGUCAACACUGACGCUCAUGCACGAAAGCGUGGGGAGCAAACAGG
RNAcentral lists this ribosomal RNA (253 nucleotides) under uncultured bacterium. RNAcentral's name for it is "partial 16S ribosomal RNA". It matches the Rfam family "Bacterial small subunit ribosomal RNA", at positions 524 to 776 of the family's 1533-position model. The record is from RNAcentral.